CCUCAUCUUUUUUAGCUCUACCCCCGCUUCGACCUUUCUCCCUUCAAUCCUCCUCCCAUUCAUUCCUUCUCCUCCCCCACCCCCCCAAUCCCACUCCGCCAUCUCACACACACACACCUGGGCGCGCGCACGCAAGGAGGAAAAAGAGAAGGAAAAAAAAAUCACUCGUAAAAAAAGAAAAAAGAAAAAAGAAAAUCUGAGGGAGAGAGAGAGAGAGAGAGAGAGGGGAUGGAACCUGGUGGCGAGGGAAGGAAGUACAACAAGUACUGGGGGUUGGAGGGGGGGAGGAGGUGCGACGGGUGCAAGGGGGCGGCGGCGGUGCUGUACUGCAGGGCGGACGCGGCGUACCUGUGUGGGAGGUGCGACGCGGGGGUGCACGGGGCCAACAAGCUGGCGUCGCGGCACGAGCGGGUGUGGGUGUGCGAGGUGUGCGAGCAGGCGCCCGCCAGCGUCACCUGNCUGUGCGGGAGGUGCGACGCGGGGGUGCACGGGGCCAACAAGCUGGCGUCGCGGCACGAGCGGGUGUGGGUGUGCGAGGUGUGCGAGCAGGCGCCCGCCAGCGUCACCUGCAAGGCCGACGCCGCCGCCCUCUGCGUCGCCUGCGACGCCGACAUCCACUCCGCCAACCCCCUCGCCCGCCGCCACGACCGCGCCCCCGUCGUCCCCCUCCUCGACCCCCUCCCCCCCUCCGCCUACGCCGCCGCCGCCGCCGCGCACGACAUCCUCCUCAGGGGCGCCGACGAUUGCGACGACGAUCUCGCCGACGACGACGCCGACGACGACGAGCAGCUCGGGGCCGCCGGGGAGGACAACGGGAACGAGGCGGAGGCGGCGUCGUGGCUCCUCCCCAACCCUGGCCCUAUCCCUAAUAACCCCAACCCCAACCCUAAUCCGUGCGGCGGCGGCGGCGGCGGCAUCAUCAAGGGGUUGAUGGAGGCGCCGGAGAUCAAAUCGGUGGAGUUCUUCCUCUCGGACGUGGAUCGCUACCUCGACCUCGAGUACGCGUCCUCCGUGGACGCGCGCUUCCACCACGCGGACAGCGUCGUCCCCGUCCACGCCAGCGGAGGGAGCAGCGGGGCGAUCGAGCUCGACUUCGCCCGAUCCAAGCCCUCCUACGCCACCUACCCCGCCCAAUCCCUGAGCCACAGCGUAAUAAUUAUAACCCCCUAAAUCCGCACCUGAUUCGCUAUAUCUCUGCCCCGUUUCCCUAACCAUCAUUCUCGAUCGAAUCGCGCGCAGGUGUCGUCGUCGGAGGUCGGGGUGGUGCCGGACGGGAGCAGCAUCCGCCUCCGCCUCCGCCGUGGGGUUCGUCGUCGACCCCGGCUACGGCGUCGUCCCCUCCUUUUGAGAUCCCCAUACCCUCGCUCCGAUCCCCCUCCUCGCAGUUCCUAUUUGUACGCCAUCUUGUGUUUGAAUUUGAAUUUUGGCUCCCUCUCUCUCUCCCCCCUUCCCCACUCUCUCUCUCUCUCUCUCUCUCUCUCCGUGUAGUGCUCUCUUAAUUUUGGUGUAUAUUAUUUUCCUAUUCGCCUAUAAGUUACCCUUUACGCUUUACGGUGAACUUUUUCUCUGUUCUCUACGC
This 1579-nucleotide long non-coding RNA is filed under the name Ananas comosus (pineapple). RNAcentral describes it as "long non-coding RNA (ACOM_LNC021772)". The record is from RNAcentral. Lineage: Eukaryota; Viridiplantae; Streptophyta; Magnoliopsida; Poales; Bromeliaceae.